CCUACGGGAGGCAGCAGUGAGGAAUAUUGGUCAAUGGGCGCGAGCCUGAACCAGCCAAGUAGCGUGAAGGAUGACUGCCCUACGGGUUGUAAACUUCUUUUAUAAAGGAAUAAAGUGAGGCACGUGUGCCUUUUUGAAUGUACCUUAUGAAUAAGGAUCGGCUAACUCCGUGCCAGCAGCCGCGGUAAUACGGAGGAUCCGAGCGUUAUCCGGAUUUAUUGGGUUUAAAGGGCGCGGAGUUGGGUUGUUAAGUCAGUUGUGAAAGUUUUCGGCUCAACCGUAAAAUUGCAAUUGAUACUGGCAGUCUUGAGUACAGUUGAGGUAGGCGGACUUCGUGGUGUAGCGGUGACAUGCUU
This 356-nucleotide ribosomal RNA is filed under the name uncultured bacterium. RNAcentral's name for it is "partial 16S ribosomal RNA". It matches the Rfam family "Bacterial small subunit ribosomal RNA", at positions 338 to 691 of the family's 1533-position model. The record is from RNAcentral.